This 500-nucleotide ribosomal RNA is filed under the name uncultured bacterium. RNAcentral describes it as "partial 16S ribosomal RNA". It matches the Rfam family "Bacterial small subunit ribosomal RNA", at positions 30 to 523 of the family's 1533-position model. The record is from RNAcentral.
AUUGAACGCUGGCGGCAUGCCUUACACAUGCAAGUCGAACGGCAGCACGGGAGCAAUCCUGGUGGCGAGUGGCGAACGGGUGAGUAAUAUAUCGGAACGUGCCCAGUCGUGGGGGAUAACGUAGCGAAAGCUACGCUAAUACCGCAUACGAUCUAUGGAUGAAAGCGGGGGAUCGCAAGACCUCGCGCGAUUGGAGCGGCCGCUAUCAGAUUAGGUAGUUGGUGGGGUAAAGGCCUACCAAGCCUGCGAUCUGUAGCUGGUCUGAGAGGACGACCAGCCACACUGGAACUGAGACACGGGCCAGACUCCUACGGGCGGCAGCAGUGGGGAAUUUUGGACAAUGGGCGCAAGCCUGAUCCAGCAAUGCCGCGUGCAGGGUGAAGGCCUUCGGGUUGUAAACUGCUUUUGUACGGGGCGAAAAGGCUCUCUCUAAUACAGGGGGCUCAUGACGGUACCGUAAGAAUAAGCACCGGCUAACUACGUGCCAGCAGCCGCCGUAA